This 316-nucleotide ribosomal RNA is filed under the name uncultured eukaryote. RNAcentral describes it as "partial 18S ribosomal RNA". It matches the Rfam family "Eukaryotic small subunit ribosomal RNA", at positions 1470 to 1796 of the family's 1831-position model. The record is from RNAcentral.
CCCUUAGAUGUCCUGGGCCGCACGCGCGCUACAAUGACCGGCGCAGCAAGUUUUCCUGACCUGGAAAGGUUCGGGUAAUCUUUACAACACCGGUCGUGUUAGGGAUCGAUCUUUGGAAUUAUAGAUCUUGAACGAGGAAUUCCUAGUAAGUGCAAGUCAUCAGCUUGUACUGAUUACGUCCCUGCCCUUUGUACACACCGCCCGUCGCUGCUACCGAUUUCGAGUGGUCCGGUGAACCUUUUGGACUGUGUCAGGCUCGACCUGAUAUAGGAAGUUAAGUAAACCUUAUCACUUAGAGGAAGCAGAAGUCGUAACA